GUAGGUAUAGCUCAGUGGUAGAGUGCAUGCUUAGCAUGCACGAGGUCUGGGGUUCAAUCCCCAGUACCUCCA
Molecule: transfer RNA, 72 nt
Filed under: Camelus bactrianus (Bactrian camel)
Lineage: Eukaryota; Metazoa; Chordata; Mammalia; Artiodactyla; Camelidae
Also listed under: 2 other names
Rfam family: tRNA
About the family: Transfer RNA (tRNA) molecules are approximately 80 nucleotides in length. Their secondary structure includes four short double-helical elements and three loops (D, anti-codon, and T loops). Further hydrogen bonds mediate the characteristic L-shaped molecular structure. tRNAs have two regions of fundamental functional importance: the anti-codon, which is responsible for specific mRNA codon recognition, and the 3' end, to which the tRNAs corresponding amino acid is attached (by aminoacyl-tRNA synthetases). tRNAs cope with the degeneracy of the genetic code in two manners: having more than one tRNA (with a specific anti-codon) for a particular amino acid; and 'wobble' base-pairing, i.e. permitting non-standard base-pairing at the 3rd anti-codon position.
Source: Rfam by way of RNAcentral